Molecule: ribosomal RNA, 1325 nt
Filed under: Calditrichota bacterium
Lineage: Bacteria; Pseudomonadati; Calditrichota
Description: Calditrichaeota bacterium partial 23S ribosomal RNA
Rfam family: Bacterial large subunit ribosomal RNA
Source: RNAcentral
GGGAGGCCGCAGUGAAGUGGGGGUUGCGACUGUUUACUAAAAACACAGGACUCUGCAAAGUCGUAAGACGACGUAUAGGGUCUGACGCCUGCCCGGUGCUGGAAGGUUAAGGGGAGCUGUUAGCCGCAAGGCGAAGCAGUGAACCGAAGCCCCAGUAAACGGCGGCCGUAACUAUAGGAACUGACCGCUGUAGUUACGUAAAAAAACCUGGCUAUAUGCUGGAAACUCCGGUGAAUCCUCUGGUACUCGCCCGUCUCUGAGCGGGCAGUGACAAUCCAUGAGGUGCGGACAAUCAGCAGGAAAGGCCGGUGGAAACCGGAAUCCUCAGAGACUAUACGCCAGGCGGAUCGUUCAUGGCGAUCCGAUGAGAUAGUCCGAUCUCUGCAGCGAUGUGGAGGGGAAGGCGAAAGCCUUGCCACACCGGUUCCCGAUCGAACGAAUCGGUGGUAACAGAAAUGAACGGUCCUAAGGUGGAAUCGCUGCCUUAGUAAAAUCUGGCUAUAUGCUGGAAACUCCGGUGAAUCCUCUGGUACUCGCCCGUCUCUGAGCGGGCAGUGACAAUCCAUGAGGUGCGGACAAUCAGCAGGAAAGAGCCUCGGAGAAUGCGAUGGCCUUCAAUCCAGAUCUCGUGCCACCCCGCAUCGGUUAUUACCUCUCGGGGUUCGCCGAUGGGGAGGGCAGCUUCAACGUCUGCUUUCGGAAGCGUAGAGAUCACCACCAGCCCUGGAAGGUGAGUCUUUGCUUCAAUGUUUCCCAGCGAGAAAAGGUGAUUCUUGCUCUUUUCAAGAAACAUCUUCGCUGCGGGACACUCAGAUCGAGAAGCGAUGGAAUCUGGUACUACGAGGUCAACAACCUCACGGCCAUCGUGGAACAUGUCAUUCCUUUCUUUCGACGAUUCGGUUUUCUCUCUGCAAAGAAGAAGCGCGAUUUCUCGAAGUUCCGACAAAUUGCGCAGUUGAUGCUGAGGGGAGAACAUCGAACGGAGGAAGGGAUCCGGAAGAUCCUCUCCAUCCGAAACCGGAUGAACGACGGUGGCGCCGGUCGGCGCAAAUAUACGGAUGAAGAGAUCUUGAAGGAAUUGGCUCCGAGGAGAUCCUCAGAGACUACAAGCCAGACACUCGAUGUGGUCGAGUGAAGAUAGAGUCCCAUCUGCAUGGCGACAUGCAGGGGUGGAUGCGAUGUCGUGGCAUCCGCCCGGCUCAUCUGAGAUGAGCCAAGAUCAUAUGAGCGAAAUUCCUUGUCGGGUAAGUUCCGACCUGCACGAAUGGCGUAACGACAUCCCCGCUGUCUCAACGAGGGACUCAGCGAAAUUGAAGUGGCGGUGA